ACCUUGGCACCUGGCAGGACCAAAGGAGUCGUGCGAUACGGCUGAAAGAGCGAUUGAACAUGAAUGAAUGCCAGCGAAAGAAGAGUUAGAUGAAUGAGAGAGUAGGAGGAACUAUGAGACAAUAUCCUGCCGAAGCGGUGCCAAUUAGUUAACGAGAUUUAAAAUAAACCGUAAUAGAGGCCAUGGCUAUCGAAAGAUGGUUCGUUAAUCCCUGGCGCUCUUUAUGUCGUCAUAAUUUCAUGCAACGACAAGAAUAAAUCGAUGAUGAUGAUAUUGUAACCUAAUUUGAUAUUGAUAUCGAUCUCGUUUCGUAAUAUCAUUAGGUAUUCUCUCGGCUAAAAAUGGUACGUUAAUUAGUUGAUUAAAUAAUAGUCAUCUGAAAAAUAUUGUCUAUAUUAUAAUAUUAAUAAAAACCUGCAGCCUUUUUAUAUGACAAAAUCUGACUAAAUUUAUGUUUUCAGGGCGAGAAGAAAGGAUUUCUAUCCAAGAACUUGUAUUCAAAUUAUGCGAUCAGUUUCUAUUUUUUUGAAAGAAUUGUAAGGGACUGUACCGGAAGUGAUACCGUCCAAAAAAGUUAUAAUUCCGCCCAGCUGGCUCACAAUGCGGAACUUACAUAAAGCGACAAUCAUGUUCACAUUACGAACGAAUUUGCCUUGGCAAGUUACGGAUCGUUACGUCAUAUGCCGUCACUUUUGCGGAAAAUUACGAAAUUACGCGAUUCUACAGAUAUAUCAUGCAUAAUUGAUUCGUCAUGCGAAUUUCCUAUGUUUAAGUUGCCGAAACAUUUGCGAAAACAAACACAUCGCAAGACAUGAGGUAAGCUCUCUCUAAUAUUCCGUCAUCGCGCAAUUAUCAUAGAUAUUUUGGUGAUUUUGCGUGUUGAAAUCAAACUUGAAAAAAAAAAAUGCGAGGCACAAUUUUCGCAACAUUUGAGAAAAACUGCAAAUAAAACCUUCCGCGAAAUUCUCUCAUAUUACUUCUCGCGUAAACGCCUCGCUAAAAUAGCCACUUUUCGAAGGGCAGCUUGACAUUUCAUUCGUGACGACGUUGUUGGCCUCGAAAUUAUUACGCAUUGAAGUUUGCGAAGCAAAAUAGAAAAACACUAAAUACAUUGACAUCAUGUGUCUAUGACAAAAUUUUCUCGCAUUUUUUCUUUUACAAAAUCUUAAUUCUUGAGUCAAAUGUAAAAAAAUUUCUCCUGUGGAGAAAUUCGCUACUUUUUAACGGAUAUAAAUUAUUGUCCGACCAUUGCCAUUCGCCGGCACGCCGCUAUGAUUUACAAUUUUAGAACCGCGGUCUCGGUCGCGGCAAGUUCGCGCGCGAGUUUCGCGUUUCUCAUCCGCAGCGUGAAAUCGCGCGAUUACGAUGAUUCCAUUAUAAAUGGGUCAGAAACGUCAUUAUGUUAGAGGGUGAGCUGCGAGUGAUUCUCUCGAAAUAGAUGAAGGCCCGGCCGGCAAAAAUAACGCGCACUCCGAACCGCGUACAGAAUCGACUGUUCUCUCGCGUCUUUCGUCCGUUUUCUUUUCGUUUGCGAUCUUUUCACUAGGAAGUGUCUCGUCCGCGGGACGGGAAACGCCUCUUGUUGAAACGUUUACAAGGUCGCAUAGCGACUGAGAAGGGAGCAAUAGCAAGGGCAAGAUCGUAAAAUCGAAAGAUCAUUUUCUUCUUCCAAUGACAUGUACCUGUAUUUUGAAUUGAAAGAAUUGAAUCUUGAAAAAAUCAUUUGAUCCAAAGAAAGUAAUUAACGUGUAGAAAUAUUUCAUCAUCUCGCCUCCGAAAUUGUCAGUUAUCGUAAAAAAAUAUGAUUUUUUAAAUGCAAUUUUUUGUAAUUUAAAAUAUGAAACAAUAAAAAUAUUUGCAGCGAUUAAUAUUUCUAGAUUAAAUUGGCUUUCGUCCAAAAGUAAUAGAACAAUAAUUGUUAACGCGCUAAUUUUAAUUGAUUGGAUUAUCAAGCUCGAUUGAAAUCUUUAUUUAAAGAUCUAUGAUUUUUUUUCCUUUUCUUUUUUAGAACAUUUUCACGAGAGUCACACUCGUUUGUACGUCGUUUUGUAAAAGGUCUCUCGAACUAAAUUCAGACGGAGCAAAACAGCUGUUUCGCAGAGUGUUUAUUGCUUGGCGACGGUGUCGAGAUGAAACUUGAACUCUUUGGAAAUUGAUUGGAACAUGUUGGCAAAAGGUAACGAAUAAAUAUUUUUACUUCAUUAACCACACAAUAUGCAAACAUAAAAUUAUGAUAAAAUUAAUUCCGUAAUCAAAAAAAAAGAAUCGAAAGUGAAUUCAAAAUAAUUAUAUCGCCGGUUAGUUUCUCCCAAGCGUUAUUCGACGAACAGAAUCAAGAAAAUGUCCUUAAUUCUGGCACGCGCUAAUCAGCUGUUAAUUGAACAACGUCUUUCUGAUCCUGCGAACAUUUUUCGAUUUUUACUCGGAUAGGAGAAUUCAAAAAACACAGAACGUGGGUGUAUUUUUAUAUGACGGCCGCUCAUGUUUCUGAGUAACCCAGAUCCCGUUCACGAAAAUAGAAUACGAUACUGAUGAACGGCAUCUGCAAUGCCCACGAUUGCGUUUCAUUGCAUCGUUAUUAAUGCGAAUUGCGUUCGCGCGAUUUUGCCUUUCAUCUCGACGACUGCAGCUGUUAUCCCGUGAAAACUAUCGCACCCUCCUUGGGAUUUCCAGAGAAGAAAACGCGAAAUUAAUUAAGCUCUUCUCGAAUGACCAAAUGCAAUCACGCUUGCAUACCGUGUGAAAGUUAAGCGACGCGAAAUCUAGAUCGCUCGGUAAUCUUAUUAUUCGAUGUUGUUAUUCGAUAUUGACGCGUCGGAGCUAAACUCGUGUGUCGUUAUUGAGUUUUGGUAUUUUUAGGGUGACCCGGCGACAUAGUUAGACUCGUGCGUUAUGGUUGUUACAUCCUAGCGUGCCCACGCAUAAAUGCCAUUCAGGCGAAAAACAAAAAAAGUUUUGUAGAACUAUUAAACAUAAUUUGAAAAUUUAUCUUUACAUCUUAAAGACGGAUUGGAAGAUAAAUCUCCUUAUAGCUUUUCUUACAAUAUAAAUCGAUUUUCAGAAAACAUCAGAUGAUCAACGCUUCGGAGAUUAAUUAAAACAUUUCUAAAGGACAUUUUUAAAAACCGUCUCGAAGCCACAAAAAUAGAAGUCCGAAAAUGCAAUAUGACUUAGCUCCGAUCUACUGACAUUCUCGUGUCGGAAAAAUUUCCCAUGGGAUCGAAAAAUUUGACAUAUCCUUCAGGCACCGCCACGAUAGUUCCAACAUAUUAUUUUAUCUGAAAUGAAGAAGGAGAAGGCGCUUGUUUACAUUAUAACUCUGGAUCGCAGCGAAUUAAAUUCACAGCAAAUAACGAGGUAAGUGUAUAGAAAACGUCCUGAAUCCGCGGGACGUAUCGGAUCGGUGCAGGCAGAGGUUUCGAUGCAAAAGCGAUAUUUAUAGCAUGUGGCCAACCGGUGGCGACGGACUUUCCGGCAUCGUGGCGGGCCAACAAAAAUAUAUUCACACUUCGGACUUCCCACGAAUAAAGGCACCUUCGUGCUUUCGCUAGCCGCAGCGACGCACGAUGCACCCUGCUGCCGCCGCCGUUGCAGCUGGCGGCGAGUGGUGCAAUAUGCGAUCGCGCAAUGAACACGAGGACACGCUUCUUUCCAAAGUCUUGUCGGUAUCGCUGUCGCAAAACGUACGGCAUUCUGUUAAAACGACGAGAGACAUCUAGAUGCGAAAUUGCGAUAUUGCAAAUCGUCGCUAUCGUCGUUAAAAUCGCUGAUGAAAAUGUGUUCGUUUUAUCUGCCUCUGUAAAUCAAUCAAAUUAUUAAUGAUGAAAACGUUAACUUUAAUUACAACCGUUAAAUGUCCUAAGCAAAAUCUACAAUAGAUUUCUCCAAUUAUUCAUUAUGAACAUUGUAUUCUUUUUUUUUUUAGUUAGAUCUCUGUAGAGCUUUGUUGACUUUGUGUGAAUUGCUUUUAUGCAGAGAAAACAUUUUCUUCGAAGAAAUUUUACUAAAUGAAGUUGUUGCUGUGUAGACUACACUUUUAACGAUUCACAUGUAAAGAUUUUUGUUUGUAUAUUAUCUUAUAAAUCGAUCUGUUUCUUGUAAAAUUUUUUAUGCGCACCAGUUAUAGAUUGUCAGGCGUGAUCAUUAUAUAUCGAACUAAAAUUUUGUCGGCUUAAAUAAAACGUUUCGGAAUAGGCGGAACGAAUUAAACGCGACAAAUGUCUUGUCACACUAUACCAGUAGCAUGAUCCGACAAUGAAUUAUUGGAUUUCAAAGUGCAAGAGGGUAUUUCGGAACAGGCUCGAGCGUGCCAGACGCCGCGAUCAUGCGGACUUGAGAAAUCAGAGUACACACGUUUCCUAUUACGACAAUUUACGCCUUUAAUAGAGCCGUAUCUAUAUUUAUUUUACAGCAUACCUUAAUGUACUUUUUCAAAUUUCAUUUCUCCACAAAACAAAGUUGCAUAUGUUGCGAGUUAGUUAUUAUAAAUAUUUUGAGGGAUGCAAUCUGGGCAUACUAUUCCUAUUUUAAUGCGUUUGAAUCUGAAUUGUUUACUUGCAAGAAGAAAGAGAAGAAAAAUAGGCGCAAAAACAAUUCUGUUAUGUUGACUUAUGCAAUUGUGCGCGAUUUUUGGCCACAUCCCACUAGAAAAUCCCCGUGAAGCAUCGGGAAGUAAAUAAAACGAAAAAUCACACCAGCUUAUGGCGCCAGUGACAAGUAUAAGAAAUUACGUCGAGACAGUUCUAUACUUAGUAUUUGCAUUUGACGUUUGCUUGCACAAUUUAGCACGAAGUUGUCAAUCAGAGCUAAACAACAUCGGCGCCGGUCGAUAUUGCAUGCAUUAUUUUUCCAACAUAUGAUUUUCCUUUUCUUAAUAAUUAUUCGAUUUAUUACUAAUUUAA
Non-coding RNA from Linepithema humile (Argentine ant), 4901 nucleotides. NCBI's taxonomy places the organism in Eukaryota, Metazoa, Arthropoda, Insecta, Hymenoptera, Formicidae. The record is from RefSeq and is a predicted model, not a curated record.